GUCAAUGCGGUGGUGUAAAGGUUGGGUGAGAACUGGACGUGUUGCAUCAUUAUCAAGCAGACCCAUCCCCAGCAACAUCAACCUAAAGAAGGAAAGCCCAGUUUGCAUUUCCUUCACUUUCGAAGGUCACAGAGAUCAUUACGAAAAACGUGCCAUGUGACGGCGGAGAGGUUGGGUGAGAACGACACGUGUAACAUCAUUAUCAAGCAGGUUCAAAAGCCGCAAGGCUUUAGAGGUGGGUCAGGGUGAGAAAAAGUCUUAUAAAAGGAGAGAGAAGAGACGAUUAAAAUCAGUCGAGUGAGGAUCUCCGACACGGUAACAACUGCAGCGCUCUUGCAUUUUUCAAUGUAAUUAGUUCGCAAUCUCUGUAAUCUAUGGCGUUGUGCUGCUGCAUUGGGUGUUGAAUCAUUGAUGAUUGGGUCGACCACUGGUGUACUGAUGUCUCCUGGCCCUGUGUAGUGUAUGGUUGAUAUCAAAGCACAACAUUGCUGUCUUAUUACUCAACAUCAACCAAUGCUGUUCCAGCUUACACCACCAAGGCUCCAAUGUACUACACCACCAAGGCUUUAGAGUAUUACAAGUUGCAUUAAAGGGGAGAAAAAAAGGCUUUUCCGACCCGACAACAACUGCCGUGCACAAUUUGUCACCAACUGCCUUUUCAUCGUAUAAAGGGUAAACUGUGGCGUCGGAUCAAAUACUACACCAACGAGGCUUCAAAGUAUUACACUACAAUUUAUGCUGCUUCGAGAUGUAUCACCAAAGAGCCCGAACCCAUCCCCGGCAACAUCAACCUGCAGAUGGGCCGACCAUUACGUAAAACUGUCAAUGCGGUGAUGUAGAGGUUGGGCGAGAACGGGAAGUGUUUGCUUCAUUAUCAAGCAGGUAUAAUAGCCGUAAGGCUUAAGAGAGGGGUCAGGGUGAGAAAAAGUCGUAUAAAUGGCAAGAGAAAAGUCGACAGCGAUCAGUCGAGUGAGUAUCUUCAACACAGCAACAACUGCAUCGCAAUAUUUGUCACCAACUGCCUUCUUCAUUGUACAACCAAUUCACAAUUUUGGGUGAACACUCAUCUUUAUUUCGAGUCGCGCCGUGCUGCUGUUUGGUGUUGUAUCGCUAAUGGUUGGGUCGACCACGGGUGUACCGAUGUCUCCUGGAUAUGGUGGAUACCAAGCAACAGCAGCGAAAGAAUACUACACCACGUCGCCGCCUUACUACACAACAACGUCUAGAUACGCAUCAUCUACUAACUACGCCGAGGCCCUCAAGUGCAACACCACCAAGGAACAAUAGUUACGCUACAAAUUACGCUGCCCCGAGUUGAUCACCAAAGCGCCUGAGUACUACAUCACCGAGGCUCCCAAGUACUACACCACCGAGUAUUCUGUCCCAGCCUACUACACCGCGGUCCCCAAGUACUACACGACUACGAAUGCUUCCUCAGCCUACUACACCGAGGCUCUAACUUAUUUCAAUACCACAGCGGUCGAGUACUACACCGAAUCACACAAGUACUACUCUGCCCCGAACUACACAACUACAACUUAGGCGGCGAAGUACUACUUAGCCCAGGCUUACAACACAGCAGCUGCUCCUUCGUACUACAUUGAACCGAAAUACUACACCGAGUAUUACACUACACCCAAAGGGAUUCAAGGCCAACGUUUCAUCGAGGCUCCUUAGUAUUAAACAGCAACCUACGCUGUUCCAUCUUAGGAAACAUGGUUAACCAUGGCUUCGUGCUCCUUGAUGGUUGGGUGGACCACUGGUGUACCGAUGUCUUCGAGUACGGUGGAUACUAAACCGCAACGCCGGCGUCUUACUACACAUCAACAUACGCAAUAACCGGAUGCUACACCACCAACACCCUAGAGUGUCACACUGCAACAUAUGAUUCCCCGAACUUCUACACCGAAGCAUCAAAGUAUAACUAUGCCCAAAGUUACAGCACGAAGGCAGCGGAGUAGUACAGCACGAAGGCAGCGGAGUAGCACAGCGCGAAGGCAGCGGA
Molecule: long non-coding RNA, 2005 nt
Organism: Daphnia pulex (common water flea)
Lineage: Eukaryota; Metazoa; Arthropoda; Branchiopoda; Diplostraca; Daphniidae
Exons: 8
Source: RefSeq, a predicted model, not a curated record